Molecule: long non-coding RNA, 286 nt
Filed under: Arabidopsis lyrata
Lineage: Eukaryota; Viridiplantae; Streptophyta; Magnoliopsida; Brassicales; Brassicaceae
Description: long non-coding RNA (ALYR_LNC001667)
Source: RNAcentral
AUAAUACUUUAGGGUUCUAAGAGGUAAUAUUACUUUUCCAUCUAAUCUUUCUUACCUAGAAAACUUUUACUCUUAUUGCAGAGACUAUUGUUUCCUUUCGGUAAACACCACUUUCAUAAAAUGUCGAACCUUCCUUCUGAAACUCGCGAAUAUGAGGUUGAAGACCUCGAAGCUUUCAUGGGUGAGGAAACCGAACCUCAUACCCAAACCGGAGAUGGGUUUGAUCUUCACCCUCAUAGUCAAUCGACUGUUGAUUCUCUUAAUGAUCUUCGUAGAUUAUGCCACA